CGAGCACGCGCGUGUGGCAUAUCAAUAAGCGGAGGAAAAGAAACUAACAAGGAUUCCCUUAGUAACGGCGAGUGAAGCGGGAAGAGCUCAAAUUUGAAAUCUUCAAGGUUCUACCUUGACGAGUUGUAGUUUAUAGAAGUGUUUUCUGUUAGUAGAGUGGCAAGAGUUCUUUGGAAUAGGACAUCAUAGAGGGUGAGAAUCCCGUAUUUGGUCAUUCUUUCUAGCUUUGUGAUACACUUUCAACGAGUCGGAUUGUUUGGGAAUGCAGUCCAAAAUGGGUGGUAAAUUUCAUCUAAAGCUAAAUAUUGGCGAGAGACCGAUAGCGAACAAGUACCGUGAGGGAAAGAUGAAAAGAACUUUGAAAAGAGAGUUAAACAGUACGUGAAAUUGUCAAAAGGGAAGCGUUUGACACCAGUGUUGUUUUUCCGAAAAUCAAUUACGAAUGUUUUAUUUUUGAGAAGUUAUGACUUCAUCGGCUUGCUUCUCUCUUUAUGAAACUUUCUUAAUGCACUUUUCGGUUAACAAGUCAACAUCAAUUUCUUUUGUUGUAAAAGGGUAUGAGGAAGGUGGCUUUCUUUUCGGAGAAAGUGUUUAUAGCCUUGUGCCUCUACAAUCGGAGAGAUUGAGGUCUGCAGCGUAGAUCCUUCGGGGUUAGAUACGUUUGUGCUAAGUUAUAGCUUUUCAUAGACAACUUGUUGACUAUGUUUAGUCUUGUAGCUUACUCGCUUAUGCUAUUUUACCUACGCUUAGGAUGUUGAUGUGAUACUGCGAGCA
RNAcentral lists this ribosomal RNA (774 nucleotides) under uncultured Neocallimastigales. RNAcentral describes it as "partial large subunit ribosomal RNA". It matches the Rfam family "Eukaryotic large subunit ribosomal RNA", at positions 19 to 646 of the family's 3401-position model. The record is from RNAcentral. Lineage: Eukaryota; Fungi; Neocallimastigomycota; Neocallimastigomycetes; Neocallimastigales.